UUUGGCUGUGCUCGCAAGAGAACCGGAACACAGGUGCUGCAUGGCUGUCGUCAGCUCGUGUCGUGAGAUGUUGGGUUAAGUCCCGCAACGAGCGCAACCCUUGUCAUUAGUUGCUACGAAAGGGCACUCUAAUGAGACUGCCGGUGACAAACCGGAGGAAGGUGGGGAUGACGUCAAGUCCUCAUGGCCCUUAUGGGUAGGGCUUCACACGUCAUACAAUGGUCGGGACAGAGGGUCGCCAACCCGCGAGGGGGAGCCAAUCCCAGAAACCCGAUCGUAGUCCGGAUUGCAGGCUGCAACUCGCCUGCAUGAAGUCGGAAUCGCUAGUAAUCGCGGAUCAGCAUGUCGCGGUGAAUACGUUCCCGGGUCUU
Molecule: ribosomal RNA, 371 nt
Filed under: uncultured Pusillimonas sp.
Lineage: Bacteria; Pseudomonadati; Pseudomonadota; Betaproteobacteria; Burkholderiales; Alcaligenaceae
Description: bacterial SSU rRNA
Rfam family: Bacterial small subunit ribosomal RNA
Source: RNAcentral